AAGCUUACUUCCAUAAUUUUUUAAUACUAUUAUUUACAAUGAACCCUUUAUUUUUACUGAAUAUUUCUAUAAAGUUAUAGAACCUUUUAUGUUGAAACUAGUAACAAGAAGUUAAACUUCUCCUCAAUAUAAGUAUAAGUCGACUAGGAUAAACCAUCGACAAUUAACGCUUAAAUUAAAUGUAUUAACUCCACAAGAAAAACUUACAUUACCCCACGUUAAUCUUACACCAGAACAUUUAAGGAAAGAUUUAAAAAAAAGGAAGGAACUCGGCAAACAUUAACCCCGCCUGUUUACCAAAAACAUCGCCUUCUGAUAUAUUAUAGAAGGUCCAGCCUGCCCAGUGAAUUAAUUUAACGGCCGCGGUAUCCUAACCGUGCGAAGGUAGCGUAAUCACUUGUUCUUUAAAUGAGGGCUAGUAUGAAUGGCACCACGAAGGUUAUACUGUCUCCCUUUUUUGAUCAGUUAAACUAAUCUUCACGUGAAGAAGCGUGAAUAAACAUAUAAGACGAGAAGACCCUAUGGAGCUUAAAAUUACACAACAAUUGUUAAAAAAAUCCUAAAUUUUAUAAAUAAAUUUUUACUAAACACCAUGAUUGCUAAUUUUUGGUUGGGGUGACCGCGGAGUAAAAAUUAACCUCCACAAUGAAAGAAAUUAAUAUUCUAAACUAAGAGCUACAACUCAAAGUAUUAAUAUUUUAACAUUCUUUGAUCCAAUAUUUGAUCAACGAACAAAGUUACCCUAGGGAUAACAGCGCAAUCUACUUUGAGAGCUCCUAUCGACAAGUAGGUUUACGACCUCGAUGUUGGAUCAGGGUAUCCUAGUGGUGCAGCCGCUACUAAUGGUUCGUUUG
This 854-nucleotide ribosomal RNA is filed under the name Engystomops petersi (Peters' dwarf frog). RNAcentral's name for it is "partial large subunit ribosomal RNA". It matches the Rfam family "Bacterial large subunit ribosomal RNA", at positions 1516 to 2579 of the family's 2925-position model. The record is from RNAcentral. Lineage: Eukaryota; Metazoa; Chordata; Amphibia; Anura; Leptodactylidae.